Molecule: long non-coding RNA, 426 nt
Filed under: Chinchilla lanigera (long-tailed chinchilla)
Lineage: Eukaryota; Metazoa; Chordata; Mammalia; Rodentia; Chinchillidae
Description: lncRNA (ENSCLAG00000028961.1)
Source: RNAcentral
AACUUUAAUACAGUAACCUUUGUUACUAGUUAUUUACCUGUUAUUUUGUUGCCUGUAUAGAGAUAUUUUUAGUAUUGCCUCUACAGGAGCUGAUAAUGAUGAAUGUCCUGAAUAUUUCCUCUACCAUCCAAAAGUUAUUUACAUUUAUACAUGUGAAACUUAAUUUGUCAUUAAACUGUGCUUCCAAACUCCAUAAUAUUGAUAUCAUCCUGUCAGAAGGCAUAAGAUCCACAUUCCUCAAGCUCCUUUGCAUAAUAUCAGAGAGCAUGGUUGGACUGGAAGUGCACAUUUCAGAACUGCAGAUAUUAAAAGGAACGAUAUCUCCUGGGAUGUAGAAUGAGAAGAUACGAGACCAGUGACAAACCUCUGGGUAGCUGGUAGGCUGUCUGGAAUGUGAUAAAGGAUUAAUAAUACUAUUAAAUCAGG